UUGUAGAGAGGACGAAUGGUAAGUCACCGGGCUCAUGCCCCGAAAAAGUGGGUUCGAUUCCCGCCUCUACA
Molecule: transfer RNA, 71 nt
Filed under: Turbinaria mesenterina (pagoda coral)
Lineage: Eukaryota; Metazoa; Cnidaria; Anthozoa; Scleractinia; Dendrophylliidae
Description: tRNA-Met
Rfam family: tRNA
About the family: Transfer RNA (tRNA) molecules are approximately 80 nucleotides in length.
Source: RNAcentral